This 301-nucleotide ribosomal RNA is filed under the name uncultured bacterium. Its description in RNAcentral is "partial 16S ribosomal RNA". It matches the Rfam family "Bacterial small subunit ribosomal RNA", at positions 509 to 809 of the family's 1533-position model. The record is from RNAcentral.
CAGUAGCCGCGGGAAUACAGAGGGUGCGAGCGUUAAUCGGAUUUACUGGGCGUAAAGCGUGCGUAGGCGGCUUUUUAAGUCGGAUGUGAAAUCCCUGAGCUUAACUUAGGAAUUGCAUUCGAUACUGGGAAGCUAGAGUAUGGGAGAGGAUGGUAGAAUUCCAGGUGUAGCGGUGAAAUGCGUAGAGAUCUGGAGGAAUACCGAUGGCGAAGGCAGCCAUCUGGCCUAAUACUGACGCUGAGGUACGAAAGCAUGGGGAGCAAACAGGAUUAGAUACCCGGGUAGUUCCUGUCUCUUAUAA